Long non-coding RNA from Lycium barbarum (goji berry), 502 nucleotides. RefSeq lists it as uncharacterized. The record is from RefSeq and is a predicted model, not a curated record. Lineage: Eukaryota; Viridiplantae; Streptophyta; Magnoliopsida; Solanales; Solanaceae. The transcript has 3 exons.
UCAACCAAACCCUAGUUUCCGUGAAAAAACCUCUUUCCUUCGUCACUUUCAACGCCAAGAAUGGCCACUCUAUCAUGCGUUUUACUUUGCACAAGACCUGCAUGUCCAUUUUGGGUAAAACAUUUAAUGCUUUACACUUUCUCCCCCGCAGCUCCACUGAGAAUAGAAGUGUGGAUGAAAAUCAAGAUCUCCAAAUCCAUUCUGUCUCAAAAGCUGCACAAAAGAAAGGUGUAUACAGAUGAGUAGAAGACAUUGGCUGUUGGAUGUUCCCAGGCUAUCAGCUGGAUUGGUGAGCUCUAUCUCAGUUCAGAGUGUUGCCGAGUCAGAGUAUUUAUGUUAUGGUAUCUCGUGUAUGUUAGAGACUUUUGCAGACAGUGUCCUGUGGAUAGUGAGUCGAGAUGUCGACAGUUGUGUAAAGCGACCAUAUAGGUCGAUGUGUUUUUAUGCUUUGUUUUUAAAGAUUUUAUUGUGACUAAAGGUUUUCUUCGAAUUGACGAUAAGU